AAAUCUUCAAAGCAAAUCUUUUGUUAAUUCAACUGGUUCUGCUUUGGUAUUGGAGGUUAUUGCAGCUUCACACCUGCUCCUCUUUGUGCAUUAGCUGGAUCUCAGUGUUAUGCUUGGUUCCACUCAGCGUGAUAAGUAUCUAUCGCUGAGGACACUGUAACAGGUGGCCAAGGUAAAUGCAGAUGAACCGCUUCCAACAGUCCAUUCACUUGGACAAAACUCUUAUG
RNAcentral lists this unclassified non-coding RNA (227 nucleotides) under uncultured Ceratobasidiaceae. RNAcentral's name for it is "sequence contains ITS2". Lineage: Eukaryota; Fungi; Basidiomycota; Agaricomycetes; Cantharellales; Ceratobasidiaceae. The record is from RNAcentral.